AAGUCGUAACAAGGUAACCGUAGGUGAACCUGCGGUUGGAUCAUUAUAGAUUUAAUCAAGUUCAUUGUUAGAUUGGGCAACCAUCUUCAAUGCAACUCCUCACACCCUUGUGAACCACUGAACGUAUGUUGGCAAUUUCAUUGGUUUCAUCCUUGAGAUGAACUGGCUUGCGCAUUUGAUCUUGUUGAAUCAACUUUCUCUUUUGCUCUGUGUGAAGGAAGUGAAGUGAAGUUCAAUUGGAUUUGUUGGGCUCCCGGCUAGGCGGGUGCGCUUGUCAGCAGAGAGAACUUGUUCUCUUGGCCGGUGAUUUUGCCACCUAGGCAAGUGAACCACAUGUCAUGUUAAUGCUGCUUAAGAAUUGGGUUUAUUUGAAUGAGAAACAACUUUAGACAACGGAUCUCUUGGCUCUC
RNAcentral lists this unclassified non-coding RNA (410 nucleotides) under fungal sp. Its description in RNAcentral is "partial internal transcribed spacer region". The stretch from base 1 to 46 matches the Rfam family "Eukaryotic small subunit ribosomal RNA", at positions 1786 to 1831 of the family's 1831-position model. Lineage: Eukaryota; Fungi. The record is from RNAcentral.